CUAAAUCAUUUACAUUGCAAAACUAUUCAAGGAUUUAAUAAAGUAGGUGGAUAAAAUUUCUACCUCAUCCUUCUGACCAGCCAAAGCCUUGGCCAGUGCGUUCACUUCAACGAUCUUCUGGGCAGCAUACGCCAACCAUGACUAGAUUUCGUCGUCAAGCUUGGUCUCGUUUACAAGAUCGACGGCGGUGUGGAGAAGAGAGCAGGAGGUUGAGACUACAAGCUUGUCUGAAUCAAUGCAGAAAGAUAUAACAGGUCAACGGUUGAAAUUUUUGUUUCUCAGUAAUCCCUUAGUAUAUUGUCGGUGACUCGGUAAAAGGAAGAUGAUUAUGGAAGCACUUAUAUUAUAUACCUUUUCCAACAACACCCUCAAGUGCCUCCAAGGUGCUGAGGGACGCAGCAAAGUCGUUGGCCCAGAUGUUCCUUCCAUCAACAACACCAGCGAAGAGGUACUUUCCCUCGGGGAAACCAGCCUUGACCAAAUCAAGGGUCUUGGUGCCACGAACCAAGUCAAAUCCAAAGGCAGUCACACCCUUCAACGAAGUCAGGGUCUUGUAUGCUUCAGCAGGGAUAUCAGCGAAGUAAGUCUCAACAAGAACAUUCAAACCAGAAAGAGUUGAUUCAAGUUCAGCAUAGGCUCCAGUGAAGGCCUGGAGUUUGUGGCCCUCAAGAUCCAUAACGAGAACAGGCUCGUCGAGCUGAAUCCAGGUGGCACCAGCAGCCUUAAGCUCGGUGAUCACUUCCCUGUAGACAAAUCAAAGUAAUAAUGUCAGUGUUGGAUUACCAAUAACAUCAAGGACAUGGAUUGAAAAGUAAAAGAAAGAAUAAAGUGGUUGCAUACUUGUAGACAGGGAGAAUUUUGGGGAGAAGAGAGAGAAGGUCAAAUGACUUCUCCACACCCUUGGCAGCCUUAGAAAGCAACAAGUAAGAGACUGGGCCAACAAGUACAGGGACGGUGUCAACACCAAGCUGCAUAAACAUCAAGCUUAUCGGAUCAGAACUUUAGAUAGAAACUACUUUUGGUGCACAAAAGACAACCAGCGUCAAACUAAUCUUUAACAACUAUUCUAUCAACCGGUUGUAUUUUGUGAGUAAGCAAGCGAGUAUAUUCUUAACGUAUCAACAUCUUCUGUGAAAACCAUUCAAUAUAUCUAAAUUCAAACACUGAAUCCACGAACCCAAGUCUAUGAUCUCCAAUAAAUAGUUAUUUAUUAGUAAAUGGAUGAUAAUAAUAAAGAAAGAUACUUACAGCCUUGGCCUCCUUGUACUCAUUCACAGCCUUGUGAGAUGCGUAAGAGAACUUAACGUCAGGGCCCAACUCAGGAACAAUGUAAUGGCUGCACCAAUUAAACAUCAUUACAUUUUUCCACAACUAAGAAAAACAAACAACGUCACUGCAAGACUGCAAGAUCAGAGUUGGAGACUCACUAGUUGGUGUCAAACCACUUGGUCAUCUCCAUGGCGGGAACAGAGGCGUUACCUCUAGCCAUGGAGAAGUAAACAUCCAAACCGAUCUCACCACUGGUGUAACCGUAUCUGGGUGGAACAGCACCGAGCAUGGCGGUGGUGUCGAGAACCUGGUCGUAGUGAGCAAAGGUGUUGCUGGGGAUGUACUUGGUCCCAGCCUCAGACAUCUGCUUCCAGAUGUUAGCCCUGAGAUCAGCGGACACCUUCUGAAGAUCCUCAGCAGUGCUCUUUCCAUCCCAGAAUGAUUCCAAUGCGAACUUGAGCUCUCUCUUAGGGCCCAUACGUGGGUAUCCAACAAUGUGUGACGCCAUUUUGAUUUCUUUUUUUUUACUGCAUCAAACACAAACCAAAUCAAGAUCAGUAUCAAAUAGUAAAAUACAUUCUCUCUUUCAUAACUUUGUUAAUAUAAUAAUAAUAAAUAAGUUUCAUACUCCAAGAAAGCUGCAACUACAGUUCACGUGUUAACAAAUUAAAAUAAAAUAAAAUCGAAAAGUAGAGCUAUAGCAGCUUUUGUCGUAUUAAUGAUUGAAUGAGUCCACUUCAAAGUAGAAUCGAAAACUUUUAGAUCAAAAUCACAUGCAACAUUUGAUGAUGAUUCAAAGCGGAUCUAACACAGACCAAUGAUCAUUUUCGAACGAUGAAUAUAGAUCGCAGAUCAGAUCCAGAUCUACAGAUCGACCGACACCAAAAAAAAAAAACUCAGAUCUGCAAAUGAUGAGCUCUCUCACCGUUUAGAUCUCAGUGAUAAACACGCAAUACGAACAAACGGAUCGGGGAGGAAUGAGCUAAUAUAUUUGAAUUUAAAAAAAUCACACUCGGUAAGUAAUAAACAAUAACGUGGAGACGAAAACGAAAUGAGAAGGGGAAGGGAGCUAAAUAAGGGAGACGUGGGGAAGCCAUAAAAUCUCGGAGACGUACCUCACGGAGGAAGAAUCGGAGAAAGAGGUUUGGCUACGAUGAAGAGAGAGCGAGGAAGGAGAGUGGCUCUGUGAGUUUAUUUAUAGAUACAAUCGUUGGGCUCUGUGUGAUGUGUAGAUCUGGUGGUGGAUAUUUUAAGCAAUAAUCAUAUAUUUCAACAUUUUAUUUUAUUUAGUUUUUCUCUCAUUUUCUUUCUUUCUAAUACGGCUAUUUAUGUGUUCUGAUUUUCUGAGAUCAUUUUCUAAUUUUCUUACCAUAAUUAAGAAAAUUAAUUACUUUUAGAUUGUAAAAGUAAAACUAGACCAAAAAAGGAACAUGUAUGGACGGAACUAUGAGCAAUUUUAUUUGUUCUUCAAUGUAUUUUUAGCUAGGUAUGUAUUUUUAUUUUUUAGCCUUAAGCAUUUAAAAUGUUAACAGUUUAUACAUGGAUACUUGGAUUAUUUUUUAAGAACGAACUUUUAGAUGAUAUCUUAACGAAUUGACAGGAAUAUCGUAAUUACAAAUUUGUAAAAUACCGGUAAUGGUAUUAAAUAUUUUCAUUAGUAAAGCUAAAUCAUUUUUACAGCAGUAAAGUCCAAUCAUUUAAUUAAAACGUAUUUAUAAAAGUAUAUUAAAGCGAUUAAAUAGAGGAUUAAAACGUGAAGGGGAGUUGGUGUCUACGUAUAUGAGGGAUUAGUAGUAGUGGGUCCUACGGAGGUUGGUGGAGAUUCACAUUUCACAGUGAAGUUUCUGUUAAAUACGGCUGCGUUUAGUGUCGGCCCGAAGAGUAUCGACAUCGAGGCCUGUUCCGCAGUGUUUUGAAAACCAAGUUGGAGUGGUUAUUGAACCUGAUUAUUUUUGAUGAAUUUGAUUUUUUGCUUCAAUACUUUUUGGAAUGUUAUUAUUAGAUUCAUACAAGUUAAAUUUUCGCUAGUUAACAUGUAACUAUUUCGAUGAUGGUUCAUUUUCCUCUUUAUACAGUGGUCAGUAAAUACUAGUAGUAUUCAUCUUUUUUUUUUUGGAUCAAACUAGUAGUAUUCAUCUAUCACCCACCAAUAAAAGCUUAGGCAACUGAGAUAAACUGGAUCAAAAUAUUUUGGUGGAUGAAUAUAGUAGUAGGUAAUGAAAGGGAGAUUAUGGAUCCAUGAUGUAUAUGUUAUUGUUUUAAGAUUCAUAAACAAAGUGAUGAGUGCUCUUUUACCAAAAAAAAAAAGAAAAAAAAAAAAAAAGAAGUGAUGAGUGGUCUUCAUCUUGUUGUUUGCUUUGAUAAUUCGGCCACCAAACAUUGAUUCUAUUAACGUCAUCGCUUCCCUUGAUUACAUGGUAAUUAUCCUUCUCGUCUUAUUUUACUGAAUUUUUGGGUGUAUUUUGAAUAUUAGUGAUAUUCACAAGACUCAACAGUCCAUAUCACAUACUGCUAAUAGAUUACGAAUAUAAUAUUUAUGCACAGUGAGAUAAGUAUGUUAUAUCUUAUACCAGUCGUUAAUCCUCAGUUUUAUUACGCAACUCAAAGUCUAACCUAUAGAAUAGCACAUACACUAGUUGAUUAUUAAUUAUAAAGCUCUUUUGCGUGACUUGUAAGAUUAUUCUAAGUUCAACAACUAGUUUGGAACUGUGUAGGUCUAUUUUAAGAGAUGACGUUGUUGCAAACUCAGAAAACAGUCAACAAAGUGCUGCUUUUCCUUACGGACGCCAACAAAAUGCUUAUUAAAGACUGUUUGACACAAUAUGGAUACUAAAUUAUAGGCUAACUAUAUAGUUUGUAUUAGUUUUAUUACUAGCAAUUGUCAAUCGCACGGCAUAAGUUUAACAGCAGUUACAUGUGACUUUACAAGAAGAUUUGCAUAUGCAUCCUUAAAGUUGUUUUGUCGGUGGAUUUAGAUCUACCAUCAUAAUAACAGCAAAAGUCGUACGAGCAUUUAAUGAAAAUUCUCCUUUUCUUUUUUCAUUUUCAUUUUAUUGUUCUGCAACCUAAACAAGUAAUACCAUAAUCAAGCUCAAACGAAAAAAAAAGAAGAAGAAGAUCUGUAAUAUACUUUAUGAAAUUAUUGAACUAAUUCGUAUGCGAAUUGUGAAAAUUAUACGACUUAUGAUAUAUGGUGUACGCAUCCCUUUUUUUUUGCCAUCUUGAGUUUGGUAGAUCGUUUAGUAAACGAAUCACAAGAUCCAAAAACAUCCUUAUUGCUGGCUUAUUAAACUUUGUGAUUAAACUAUGAUAAAGGAAUGCUUUUAGGCAUGUGACAUAUUACAUGAUUACAUAUGCAUUAUGAUUUGAAUUGAAAUAUGAUAAUUUAAAUAAUUUAUAAAUCUUUUGUAAUGUAUACAUGCUAAUUUAAAGAACACAAAGACUAAGAAAUUAUUCAUCUAAUCUCAAUCACAAGGCUCCAUGUUAAAAGUGAGUAAAACAUGAAAAUGAAAGCCAACCACUUUUUAGGUAGAGUCCAUUCUUAUAGAUUACACAAUGCUAACCCUAUAGCUAGAGUUGAAAAGAACAACGAUGUAGAGCAACUCUACCUUUUAGACAAUGUUCAAAGAAGAAUCCAAACAUCAAUAAUUUCUGGAAUAAAAUUUAGGAGACUAACUUCUUAGCCUUGUAUUCUCUGCGAACUCUCCUGAGCUCUACAGUCUGGGGGAAGGAUCCAAUGGUGGUGGUUGGCAGGAUUGGGAGGUUAAGCUUCUUCUGCUGAGCAUCUAACCUAGCGCUAACAUUAGUUGCACGACGGUGGUCUGAGCCCUUCAAAGCAGCAGCCUGAGAUAACAAAUCAGAAACCAUCUCGAUCAAUAAAUGCUAAGGAGAAAUCAGUGACUGUGGAGAUGGCUGAGGUUUGCGCCAAACUUACAGCCUUCUGGACACCCUCGUUGGUGACUCUUGGGGAAGACCUCCUUGAAGCCAAAGCAGCAGCGUUGGCGGAGAAAAGGGCCUGAAAGGGAAUACAAUAUUAGCAUUCUAGUGUUUACUAAAUCAUUUACAUUGCAAAACUAUUCAAGGAUUUAAUAAAGUAGGUGGAUAAAAUUUCUACCUCAUCCUUCUGACCAGCCAAAGCCUUGGCCAGUGCGUUCACUUCAACGAUCUUCUGGGCAGCAAACGCCAACCAUGACUUGAUUUCGUCGUCAAGCUUGGUCUCGUUUACAAGAUCGACAGCGGUGUGGAGAAGAGAGCAGGAGGUUGAGACCACAAGCUUGUCUGAAUCAAUGCAGAAAGAUAACAGAUCAACGUUUGAAAUAUUUGUUUAGUAUAUUUUCGGGUGACUCAGGUAAAAGGCAGGCGAUUCUGGAAGCACUUAUUUACCUUUUCCAACAACACCCUCAAGUGCCUCCAAGGUGCUGAGAGACGCAGCAAAGUCAUUGGCCCAGAUGUUCCUUCCAUCAACAACACCAGCGAAGAGGUACUUUCCCUCGGGGAAACCAGCCUUGACUAAAUCAAGGGUCUUUGUGCCACGAACCAAGUCAAAUCCAAAGGCAGUCACACCCUUCAACGAAGUUAGGGUCUUGUAUGCUUCAGCAGGGAUAUCAGCGAAGUAGGUCUCAACAAGAACAUUCAAACCAGACAGAGUUGAUUCAAGUUCAGCAUAAGCCCCAGUGAGGGCCUGGAGUUUGUGGCCCUCAAGAUCCAUGACAAGGACAGGCUCGUCAAGCUGAAUCCAGGUGGCACCAGCUGCCUUAAGCUCUGUGAUCACUUCCCUGUACACAAAUCAAAGUCAUAAUAUCAGUGACAUGUUAGACGAUCAUUCAUAACUAAAAUAAAAAGGAAGUGAUUUCUUACUUGUAGACAGGGAGAAUUUUGGGGAGAAGAGAAAGAAGGUCAAAAGACUUCUCUACACCCUUGGCAGCCUUAGAAAGCAACAAGUAAGAGACAGGGCCAACAAGUACGGGGACGGUGUCAACACCAAGCUGCAUAACAUAAAGUUUUAUAGGAUCAGAACUUCAGAAUAGCAAUCUAGCAGAUGAAAGAAAGAAACCUACUUUAAGUGUACAAACGACAAUUAGCAGAAGAACAAGAAACUACUUUAGGUGUCAAAACACAACCAGAGUCAAAUUAAUUUAUAUCAGCUAUUCUAUCAAGUAACUGGUGUUUAUGAAUGUGCAAGUGAGUAUAUUCUUAAUUCAUCACUUGUCUAUGUGAUUAUGUGAAACAGCGUUCAGUGAAUCUAAGCUCAAACAGUAAAUCCUGGAACCAAAGCCUAUUAUCUCUAAUAGAUUAGUCCUAAAGCAGACUGUAAAAUUCAUAAGAAAUUGAAAAUAGCGAAGAAUAAUACGUACAGCCUUGGCCUCCUUGUACUCAUUCACAGCCUUGUGCGAUGCGUACGAAAAGUUAACCUCAGGGCCCAACUCAGGGACGAUGUAAUGGCUGCAUCAACAAAACAUCAUUACAUUAGUCCAAUAUUCAAAAAAAAAAGCCCAACUAACAAUGUCGCUGCAAGGGAGACGAGACUCACUAGUUGGUGUCAAACCACUUGGUCAUCUCCAUGGCGGGAACAGAGGCAUUUCCUCUAGCCAUGGAGAAGUAAACAUCCAACCCAAUCUCACCACCGGUGUAACCGUAUCUGGGUGGAACAGCACCGAGCAUGGCGGUGGUGUCAAGAACCUGAUCGUAGUGAGCAAAGGUGUUGCUUGGGAUGUACUUGGUCCCAGCCUCAGACAUCUGCUUCCAGAUACCCGACCUGAUAUCAGCAGACACCUUCUGAAGAUCCUCAGCAGUGCUCUUCUUAUCCCAGAAUGACUCCAACGCGAACUUGAGCUCUCUCUUGGGGCCCAUACGUGGAUAUCCAACAAUGUGCGACGCCAUUUUUGAUUUUCUUUAACUGCAACAAACAAAACAAACAAGAUCAAUAUCUCAUAUUUAAAUAAAAGAUUUAUUAAUAUAUAUAAUAAUAAGGCUAAGUUACUGACUCCAAGAAAGCAGCCAACAACAGUUCACGUGUACGCAAAAAAAAAAAAUAUCGAAAAGUGUAGCAGCUUUUUGUCGUAUUAUAUGAUUGAGAUAAACGAGACGAGUCCACUUCAGAGUGGAAUUUGAAAAGUUUUAGAUCAGAUCACAUGCAACAUUUUAUCACUAGGAGAUGAUCUAAAGCGGAUCUAACACACACGAGCUCAUAACGACGACCAUUUUCAAUAGAUCGCAAAUCAGAUCGAGAACCAGAUCUACGAAUCGAAUAACACUAGAAACUCAGAUCUGUGACUGAUGAAGUCUCUCACCGUUUAGAUAUACACUACGAACAAACAGAUCGCGGAGAAAUAGAACCAAAUAUGAUAUUCAAAUCUAAUCACAGUCGAGAGAGUAGUAAUAACAAUAACAACAACGUGGAGACGAAGAACGAAAUGAAUAACGAAGGGGGAAGCUAGCUAAAUAAGGGAGAACGUAGGGAAGGUAGAGAAACUCGGAGACGUACCUCACGGAGGAAGAAUCGGAGAAGAGAAGAAGAAAGGGUUGGCUACGAAGAAGAGAAGGCGAGGAAGGAGAGUGGGCUUGCGAGUUUAUUUAUAGCAAAAACAAAUAAUGAUAGAUCGUUGGGCUCUCUGCAUUAUUGUCUAGAUCUGGUGGUUGAUAUUUUCGGCAUUUAUCAUUUAUUUUUCAUUUUAUUUUCUUUUUACGGCUAUUUAUUUGCAUUUAUUUUCCUACAAUAUAUUUUCUUACCAAAAGUGUGGAAAAUUAAUAAGUAUGAAUAAAGCUAGUAAAUACGAUUCUAUCAGUACUACAACAUACCUAUCACCUUUUCAUUUUAUUUUCCCACAAUAUGUUUUGAUUUCAGAAAAAAAACAGUCACUAAUUUUCUUUAUUUGUCUCCCUCACCACAUAUUAUUUAUAAUUAAAUCAUAUAUAUACUCGAAUACUAAAUAAAAUAAAUUCAUAUAAAACUUAGUUAAAAAAAUUAUUAGUAAUUUAUGUUCUUCAAUGUAUUUUAGUUGCGUAUGUAUUUUGGCUUGAAAUUUAAAAAUAUGAACAAAGUAAUAUAUGGUUCACUAAAACGGAUCUUUAGAUAAUAUCUUAACUAAUUAACAGAAAUAUCUUAGCUUCAAAUUUGUAUUAGUAGUUUGGAUUAGUAAAGAUCAAUCUAUUUAUUUUUACUGUAGUAAAUCCUAAUCAUCUAGUUAGUCGUAUUAAGAAAUUAAAUAGAGAAUUAAAACGUGAAGGGGAGUUGGUGGUGUGCGUGGAGCGAUUAGUAGGUGGCAUGGGACCCACGGAGGUUGGUGGGGAUUCACAUUUCACAGUGAAGUUUCUGCUAAAUACGACGGCGUUUAGCAUUCAGCACGAAGAGUAUCGACAUUGAGCGCUGCUCGUGCUCGGCAGCGUUUUGGAAACCAUGUGGAGGUUGAAGCUGACUAUUUUUGAUAAAAUAAAAAAUAAAUUCCCAUAAUUUGACUACUAAAAAUACAUUUUAGGUUAGUAAAUACAAUAGUCAUAAUCAUGAUAUUUAUGUUUUUAUAGAACUGGCCGAGAAAAAUAUUAUGGUUGGUGACUAUAGUUGGUGGAGAAGGAUUGUGGCCCCACAAUAUAUAUGUAAUUGUUUAAGAUUCAUAAGCAAAGUGAUGAGUGGUCUUGAUGUUGUUGUUUGCUGAUGAUUUGGCCACCGUAUAUUGAUUCUUAACUUAUAUUAUCUUCAUCGCUUCCCUUAAUUACAUCUUACUUUUUCCUUCUAAUCCUAUUUUGAAUUUUCUUUAUGUUUUUAUGAAGUUAAAUCUUGAAUAUUAAUGAUAAGCAAAAAAAUUUUGACGCUUGCAAAAUAAACUUUGUAUAGACAUCUUAAGAACCUCACUGUUUCUCAAGCUUGCGUUAGGACAUUCGAAGGACUAAAAGUCUAUAUCACAUACUAGUAGUCUAAGAAAUCUAUGCAUAGUGGGAUCGAUAUGGUUUUUCUCAUACCAAUCAUUGAUCCUUAAUUUUAUCAUGUAGUUCAAUGUUUAUAGAAGUCUAACCAUAGUACAUACACUACUUUAUUAAUGUAUAAGCUCUUGUAGAGGGAGUCGUGAGUAUGGUCCAAGUUCAAGAACUAGGUUGGACUUUUUGAGUACCAUUCUCUUGUAUCGGAAACUGUGUAGGUGUGUAUUUCGAGUUUAAAAAAUAAUAAAAUGUAGAAGAUGGUGAUGCUGCUCCAAACCGACAAUUCAGGGCCUGACUGGUUCAACCGCAGCGGUUGCGGUUGCGGGAGUUUGCGGAUGCGGGUGGUUGCGGUUUCUAGCGGUUUUAAGAGAUUCGUACGACUGGUUAUGCGGUUAGAAAUUGGUAAACUCCGAAAACACAAGGCAAAGAUCAAUCUCUAGAUGCCCUGGGAUAUCUAUUCGAAAAAGUUUCCAUACUUGGAGAAGAACCAAUCUUUAUUUCCUUUCAAUACACCUUUUUUAGCUUCCAUACUUGGAGAAGAACCAAUCUUUAUUUCCUUUAAAUACCCCUUAGAAAAAAAGAUAUGUUUCAUAAGAGAAAUGAAGGAUACAAAACGAGAAACACAAAACAAAUCCAAAAGAUACAUAUCUCUCAACUCUCUCAGCAAGAGGGGAAACCAUAUGCAUCAAACCUAACUUCAACUAGAUAUUUUUAGAAAGGUAAUUAAACAAAACAAAAACACAACCAUUAUAGAGAAAAAGAACUCAAGUAUCCUUCUUCAAAUCAUUCAUCUCUUUUCAAGCUUUUCUUCACUUGGCACUGGCGAGCUGGGAGCGGAUGAGUUUAGCCGCAUCAACCAUGUUCUUCAGGGCAGGCUUGACCUCUGUGUACUUACGGGUCUUGAGACCACAGUCAGGGUUAACCCAAAGGAUGUUCUGCUCAAGAACAGCAAGCAUCUUGUUCACUCUCUCUGCGAUUUCCUCAGUUGAUGGUAUUCUUGGAGAGUGGAUGUCGUAGACACCUGGACCAAUUCCAGCACCGUACUUCACUCCUUCACGGAACACAGAGAGAAGCUUCUCAUCAGAUCGGGAGUUCUCGAUGGUGAUGACAUCAGCAUCCAUGUCGAUGAUGGAGUGUAUGAUGUCAUUGAAGUGAGAGUAGCACAUGUGAGUGUGGAUCUGCAUAAUAACACCACCAUAAGAAAACGGAAAAAACACUUCACUCUAGUAUAUACGAGCGAUAUGUGUUUGAAGGAAGCAAACCUGGGUGGUGUCUUGGACUCCACAGUUGGUGAUUCUGAAGGAGUGAACAGCCCAGUCCAAGUAGAAAGCAUGCUCGGAUUUCCUGAGUGGUAAUCCUUCUCUGAGUGCAGCCUCAUCGAUCUGAAUGACAUUAAUACCACCUUUCUCAAGAUCCUCGACUUCGUCCUUGAUGGCCAGAGCGAUCUGGUAACAGGUCUCGUGCCUACAAAGUUUUUCAGAUAUAUACGUUUUAGUCAUUUUGUUGUAAGCUGUGUUUGUUUCAGACUUGAGAGUUUUUAUUUUGUGUACCUGGGCUGGUCAUUUCUGACAAAGGACCAGUUAAGAAUGGUGACAGGGCCGGUAAGCAUUCCCUUCAUUGGGCGAGAGGUCAUGCUCUGAGCCAUUGCGGACCAGAAGACGGUCAUUGCCUUGGGACGGCUCACAUCACCGUAGAUAACUGGUGGCUUCACACAACGAGAUCCAUAAGAUUGGACCCAUCCAUUUGCGGUGAAGGCAAAACCAGACAACUGCUCCCCGAAGUACUCAACCAUGUCGUUUCUCUACAAAAUUGUUGAAACGUGUCUCGUCAGAAACAUUAAAACGGACUACCAUCAAUAACUUUGAAUUGUCAGUACUCUACUUCGAGGGUUCAAGCAAUAACAUAUAACAUUAAAAAGAAAACACUCACCUCUGGCUCUCCGUGAACGAGAACAUCAAUGUCAAGUUCCUCUUGGAGGUCAACAACUUUCUUGAUCUCUUCCUUCAUGGCCUUAACAUAGUCCUCCUCGGAAACCCUAUCAAAGAGAUUCACCGUUAGUAUCAUACCGUUUAAGGAGAUACCAGGAAUAAAAUUUAGGAGACUAACUUCUUAGCCUUGUAUUCUCUGCGAACUCUCCUGAGCUCUACAGUCUGGGGGAAGGACCCAAUGGUGGUGGUUGGCAGGAUUGGGAGGUUAAGCUUCUUCUGCUGAGCAUCUAACCUAGCGCUAACAUUAGUUGCACGACGGUGGUCUGAGCCCUUCAAAGCAGCAGCCUGAGAUAACAAAUCAGAAACCAUCUCGAUCAAUAAAUGCUAAGGAGAAAUCAGUGACUGUGGAGAUGGCUGAGGUUUGCGCCAAACUUACAGCCUUCUGGACACCCUCGUUGGUGACUCUUGGGGAAGACCUCCUUGAAGCCAAAGCAGCAGCGUUGGCGGAGAAAAGGGCCUGAAAGGGAAUACAAUAUUAGCAUUCUAGUGUUUACUAAAUCAUUUACAUUGCAAAACUAUUCAAGGAUUUAAUAAAGUAGGUGGAUAAAAUUUCUACCUCAUCCUUCUGACCAGCCAAAGCCUUGGCCAGUGCGUUCACUUCAACGAUCUUCUGGGCAGCAAACGCCAACCAUGACUUGAUUUCGUCGUCAAGCUUGGUCUCGUUUACAAGAUCGACGGCGGUGUGGAGAAGAGAGCAGGAGGUUGAGACUACAAGCUUGUCUGAAUCAAUGCAGAAAGAUAUAACAGGUCAACGGUUGAAAUUUUUGUUUCUCAGUAAUCCCUUAGUAUAUUGUCGGUGACUCGGUAAAAGGAAGAUGAUUAUGGAAGCACUUAUAUUAUAUACCUUUUCCAACAACACCCUCAAGUGCCUCCAAGGUGCUGAGGGACGCAGCAAAGUCGUUGGCCCAGAUGUUCCUUCCAUCAACAACACCAGCGAAGAGGUACUUUCCCUCGGGGAAACCAGCCUUGACCAAAUCAAGGGUCUUGGUGCCACGAACCAAGUCAAAUCCAAAGGCAGUCACACCCUUCAACGAAGUCAGGGUCUUGUAUGCUUCAGCAGGGAUAUCAGCGAAGUAAGUCUCAACAAGAACAUUCAAACCAGAAAGAGUUGAUUCAAGUUCAGCAUAGGCUCCAGUGAAGGCCUGGAGUUUGUGGCCCUCAAGAUCCAUAACGAGAACAGGCUCGUCGAGCUGAAUCCAGGUGGCACCAGCAGCCUUAAGCUCGGUGAUCACUUCCCUGUAGACAAAUCAAAGUAAUAAUGUCAGUGUUGGAUUACCAAUAACAUCAAGGACAUGGAUUGAAAAGUAAAAGAAAGAAUAAAGUGGUUGCAUACUUGUAGACAGGGAGAAUUUUGGGGAGAAGAGAGAGAAGGUCAAAUGACUUCUCCACACCCUUGGCAGCCUUAGAAAGCAACAAGUAAGAGACUGGGCCAACAAGUAC
RNAcentral lists this long non-coding RNA (12611 nucleotides) under Brassica napus (rape). Its description in RNAcentral is "long non-coding RNA (BNAP_LNC008879)". The record is from RNAcentral. Lineage: Eukaryota; Viridiplantae; Streptophyta; Magnoliopsida; Brassicales; Brassicaceae.